UACUAGAGUAGCACUCGCAUAUCAAUAAGCGGAGGAAAAGAAACUAACAAGGAUUCCCCUAGUAACGGCGAGUGAAGCGGGAAGAGCUCAAAUUUGAAAUCUUAAAGGGUUUCCCUUUACGAAUUGUAGUUUAAAGAAGUGUUUUCUGUUGAGGUUUUGGUAAAAGUUCUUUGGAAUAGGACAUCAUAGAGGGUGAGAAUCCCGUAUUUGACCUUUACUUUCAACUUUGUGAUACACUUUCAAAGAGUCGGAUUGUUUGGGAAUGCAGUCCAAAAUGGGUGGUAAAUUUCAUCUAAAGCUAAAUAUUGGCGAGAGACCGAUAGCGAACAAGUACCGUGAGGGAAAGAUGAAAAGAACUUUGAAAAGAGAGUUAAACAGUACGUGAAAUUGUCAAAAGGGAAGCGUUUGACACCAGUGUUGUUUUUCUGAAAAUCAAUUAAAGAACUGUUUAUGCUAAGCUGUUUAGACUUUAUCAGCUAUCUGUUUAGUUUUGAGCUUUUCUUUAAUGCACUUUUCAGUUAACAAGUCAACAUCAAUUUCUUUUGCUGUAAAAAAGCUUGAGGAAGGUGGCUUGAGAUUCGUCUUAAGUGUUUAUAGCCUCUUGCCUAUGCAGUCGGAGAGACUGAGGUCUGCAGCGUAGAUCCUUCGGGGCUAAAUGCAUUUGUGCUAAGUUAUAGCAUUUUAUAGACAACUUGUUGACUAUGAUUUGUCUUGUAGCUUACUCGCUUAUGUUAUUUUACCUACGCUUAGGAUGUUGAGCGCAUGUCUCUCUCU
RNAcentral lists this ribosomal RNA (774 nucleotides) under uncultured Neocallimastigales. Its description in RNAcentral is "partial large subunit ribosomal RNA". It matches the Rfam family "Eukaryotic large subunit ribosomal RNA", at positions 20 to 616 of the family's 3401-position model. The record is from RNAcentral. Lineage: Eukaryota; Fungi; Neocallimastigomycota; Neocallimastigomycetes; Neocallimastigales.